GGAUAUAAAGAAGGAAUUUAUCGAGCAAAAGGACCAUUUGUAAUGUAACUGGGACAUUUUGGAGUGCCAACCGAAGAAGAUCUUCAAAGGUAAGGCAUAUAUUAUAUCGCUAUUUCUGACUUUCGUGUCGCAACUCCCUGGUUGAAAAUGAUUUGUUAUGCAUUUGUGUGCUGGACGCUGUCCUCAGAUAAUCGCAUGGUUUGCUUUCGCCGUAAAGCCUUUUUGAAAUCUGACACCUUGGCUGAAUUAACAACAAGUUAAGCUUUAUUUUGAUGUAACCCCUAAGUUUCCAACAUGACCUGACUUGUGUGUAUGUGUAUGUUAUAGGAGGAGUUGAUGGCGGAGCAUGCGUAUUACCUGCGGCAACACCCAGGUCUAUCUGUCUUCAGAGGGAUCUAGGGUGCAGACAGCAGAUGGUGGUGGAGGUGUUUGGGGUGGAGAGGACAGUGGAUUCAGUUGGAGGACAUUCCAGGCACUUGGCAGUGUUGGCACUGCUACUUCCUACCUGACGGGCACCUGGCUACCCGAGUGCAGGUGGGCUCUCUGUCAACAUGAGGCUCUUACUGGUCCUACCCCAAGUACACACAUACACAGGUACACACACAUAAACCACUAACCCCUAAGUUUCCAACAUGACCUGACAUGUGUGUUACAGGAGGAGUUGAAGGUGGAGCAUGCCUUGUACCAGCGGCAGCACCCAGAGCUCCAAGCCAUGAUGGGUCGACUUCCUGCAGUUCCUGCUACUAUGAAAACUGAGCGAGGUCAUCAUGUUCGCCCGCAAGGACAUCUUUGCCUCCUGCCAACCACCGGGGGGCACCUUCAACACCUCCUCACCUUGAGGACACACACUGUGGCUGCGUCUGUGUCUCAAUAGUCUAGUAGCUUUCUUUGACUGGCACUUUAGUGAGGACAAUACUAUUCUGGUUAACACUUGUCACCAGUAUGUACAGAGGCCCUCGAGAUCUAGAGUAUUGAUAAAAUACGAAUGCUUUUAUGGAUGUUUUUUAUUUUGUGAUAAUGUUUUUACUGUCUUUUGUUUGUAUGAGGUGCACUGAAACAAAUUCCAAUCAACUCUGUUGAUUUGGCAAUCACAAGAGGUCCAGUUAUGUCAGUUAUUGUGAAUGAAAAUAAAAUGUAUUAUUUCAUGUCUUGUAUGUUUCCCAUGCUUAAUUUAUGUUGAGUUAUUCCAGUAACUGCUACAUUGCUUUGGCUCUAAUCUGAUCAACCGAUAAUGUUUUAAAAAAUAAAGUUAGAAAUAAAAUUAUGCUCAUGCUUUUACUCAGUACUUUGUUGAAG
Molecule: long non-coding RNA, 1296 nt
Filed under: Salmo trutta (river trout)
Lineage: Eukaryota; Metazoa; Chordata; Actinopteri; Salmoniformes; Salmonidae
Description: lncRNA (ENSSTUG00000009342.1)
Source: RNAcentral